RNAcentral lists this small RNA (47 nucleotides) under Vibrio cholerae O1 biovar El Tor str. N16961. The record is from RNAcentral. Lineage: Bacteria; Pseudomonadati; Pseudomonadota; Gammaproteobacteria; Vibrionales; Vibrionaceae.
CCACCCACUUGAUGGUUGAGAUGUUCAAGACUCAGCACCAUCAGCUG